GACGAACGCUGGCGGCGUGCCUAACACAUGCAAGUCGAGCGGAGAUGUACUGAAGAUUUAUCGGAUGUACAUCUUAGCGGCGGACGGGUGAGUAACGCGUGGGCAACCUGCCUUUCACUGGGGGAUAACACAGGGAAACCUGUGCUAAUACCGCAUGACAUCACGUAGGGCAUCCUAUGUGAUCAAAGGAGAGAUCCGGUGGAAGAUGGGCCCGCGUCCAAUUAGCUGGUUGGUGAGGUAAAGGCUCACCAAGGCGACGAUUGGUAGCCGAACUGAGAGGUUGAUCGGCCACAUUGGGACUGAGACACGGCCCAGACUCCUACGGGAGGCAGCAGUGGGGAAUAUUGCGCAAUGGGGGGAACCCUGACGCAGCAACGCCGCGUGAAGGAAGAAGGUCUUCGGAUUGUAAACUUCUUUGAUGAGGGACGAAUAAAGUGACGGUACCUACAAAAACAGCCACGGCUAACUACGUGCCAACCGCCGACGGUAACACCACAUAGUACG
Molecule: ribosomal RNA, 504 nt
Filed under: uncultured bacterium
Lineage: Bacteria
Description: bacterial SSU rRNA
Rfam family: Bacterial small subunit ribosomal RNA
Source: RNAcentral